Long non-coding RNA from Macaca fascicularis (crab-eating macaque), 3531 nucleotides. Lineage: Eukaryota; Metazoa; Chordata; Mammalia; Primates; Cercopithecidae. The record is from Ensembl.
CAUGGGUAAUGUCAUGCCGGUGGUACAUAUUUUGAACAGUUGAUGCCUUAAGGUAAUCAAACCAAGCAUUAGGGCAGGGCAUAGUGGCUUGUGUCUGUAAUCCCAACGCUUUGGGAAGCUAAGGCAGAAGGAUCACGUGAGGCCAGGAGUCCGAGACCAGCCUGGGCAACAUAGCAAGACCCCAUCUCUACAAAAAAAUAAAAUAUUGGCCAGGCAUGGUAGCACACACCUAUAGUCCCAGCUACUCCAGAAGCUGAAGCAGGAGGAUGUUUUGAGCCCAGGAGUUCCAGGUUAUAGUGAAUUAUGACUGGGUCACUGCACUACAGCCUGGUUGACAGAGCAAGAUGCUGUCUCAAAAAAAAAAAAAAGAAAGAAAGAAAAAAACAAACAAAAUAAACAAGCACUAGUUAGCAUUAGCACACUCUGGUCAAAAUAUUUUUUAAGUUAUAAAUUUGUGUGUCUUUAAAUUGCUUAUUUACAUAUUAUUAUAACCAUUUGUGUAAUUCAAGAAAUUUAUAUUUACUUUAAUCCUCACACUAAACCUGUUUGGUUCCUUGGUCCCAAUUAAGAGACGAAGCAACUGAGACUCGGGAAAAUGAAUGUUUACCCAAAGCCACGUUGCUGGUGAGGGCAGAACGGAGAUUAAACCAGGACUGGCUGACUCCGGAAGUCUUUCCACUCCACCACGCAGCUUCCUUAAAGAUCACCCAGCCCCACCUUCUCAUUCUACUGAUGACAAAACUAAGAUCCCAAAAAGUAGGUGACUCCGUUGUAUAACAUGGCCAGUGAGUGCCGAAGCUAGUUGUAAAGCUCAAAUCACCAGUUCAAUUAUUUGUCUCCCGGGGCCUGCGGUACCCACCUUGUAGGAUGUCCUCAUCCUCCAGUCAGAGACCACAGGAACACACCUGCAGCUGGACAAGUCCAGUUUAUCACGCAUUGCAGCCAAGGAAAGCACACUCCAUCGGGGAGCGUGGAGUGUCCCAGUAAGAAGGUGUUCUAAAGGACUUAGUCAAGGGUUUGGGCAUGUGUUAGGUGGUUUGAGGAAGGCGAUGCUCCAGAUUGGAUGCUGUCAGGAAGCAAGGGGAACACUGUGACUCGCUAUCUUAAUACCUCUUACCUAGGAGGAGGGAAACUGCACUCAGGCUAAAGCUGUAAGUGGCCAAGACACAGCCCCGUUGUCUGGGAGAAAGCUGAUUCGUCCUCUAUUGCUUUGUAGCAAAUGACCACAAACUUAGUGCCAUAAAACACCACCGAAGUGUUCGCUCCAUUUCUGAAGAUACUACAGGACUGAAGUCUAGCAGUGGCAUGGCUGGAUUCUCUCUCAGGCUCUCACUGGGCUGGGGCUGCCAUUGUCUUCUGGGCCCUGGAUCCUUUUCCAGGCACACUGGCUGCUGGCAGAAUUCAUUUCCUAGCAGCUAUGGGACUGAUGAUGUCCCCAUUUUCCUUCUAGCUGAAGGCCAGGGCCUGCUGUCAGCUCCUAGAAGCUCCCUGCAGUUGUUGCUGCUUGGCCCCCGUUAACAGUUCCCAGGAUGGAGUUUGCUUUCUUUCAGGCCAGCCCGCGUGUGUCUCUCUAACUUCCUCUUCUGUGGCCAGCUGGAGAAAACUGUGUUUUUAAAGGGCUCAUAUAAUUAGGUCAGGCCCACCUGGAUAAUUUCCCUUUUUUUUUUUUUGCCGCCCAGUGGCUCAUUACAGCUCACUGCAGCCUCAACCUUGCUGGACUCAGGUGAUCCUCCCACUUCAGCCUACCCAGUAGCUGGGACUACAGGCAAGUGCCACCAUGCCUGGCUAGUUUUUUCUUUGUAUUCUUUUGCUGCUCAGGCUGGUCUCGGACUCCUGGGCUCAAGCAAUCCUCCCACUCAGCCUCCCAACGUGCUAGGAUUACAGGCAUGGGCCACCAUACCUGGCCUAAUUUCCCUGUGUUAAGGUCAAUUGAUUUGGGAUGUUAAUUAUAUCUGUCAAUUCCCUUCACAGCAGUAGCUAGAGUAAUGUUUGCUAAGUAACUAGGGGUAGGUGCGGGUACACCAGGGGCCAGGAAUCUUGCGGGCAGCUUACAAUUCUACCCACCACAGGGGUAUGCCUGGUAUUCUGUGACUUGGGCAAUGUUCCUGUAUCAUCUAUGUUCCAGCAUGAUUAGGGAGGGGUCUUGUUUUUGUCUUAAUCUGUAGUGGUCCCAGCGUGACCUUAUCUGAUGUUGAUGUUGUAUGAAAUUUGUUGUUCAACAGGCCUUGCUGACAGUCCCAAGCCAGCUCUCGGAUGUCAGGGACUGCUCUCUCCUUCUCACGGGAAAGAUGCCAGUGACAUUUGUAGGAAAAAUGGGCAGAGACAGUGUUGCAGGACUUUUCCUUAGUUCAGCUAAAGAUGGGGUUCUUUGUCCCAUGGCCAUGAAAAUUCAGGCUUGCAGACAAUUUGAAUGGUGAGUAAGGCAGGGUUUUAUUGGGUGAAAAGGAGAAAAAAAAAGGGGUGGGGAACAGGGACUGUGCAAGGCCAGAGUCCCUGCUAGAACACUUCCUGAUGCAGCUUGAAUUCCAGGUUCUACACAGGAAGAGGAGGGACCAGGCUCCUCCCUGCUGCAAAUGGAUCAAACUUCCCAAAUCUCCACCCCAGUGGGCAGGCUGGUUGGAUUUUCUCCAGGAACCGUCUCCCACCUGGCUGUCUCAACAGGAAGAGCAGUUCCCAGGAGAGAAAACGCAGGUAGCUAACAGACACAUGAAAAGAUGUGCAAUGUCUCUGGCAAUGAGCAAAAUACAAAGUAAAACAACAAUGAGAUGUUCUUAUGAGAGGUGAGGCCAAUUGGACGUCCUGGGUUGAGUGGGGACUUUGAGAACUUUUCUACCUUACAAGAGGAUUGUAAAAUGCACCAAUCAGUGCUCUGUAAAAAUGCAGCAAUCAGCACUCUGUAGCUAGCAAGGGCAUCGUAAAAUGCACCAAUCAGCGCUCCGUAAAACGUACCCAUCAGUAGGAUCCUAAAAGUAGCCAAUCGCAGGGAGGAUUGAAAAAAUCACACUCUGAUAGGACAAAAAUGGAACAUGAGUGGGGACAAAUAAGGGGAAUAAAAGCUGGCAACCCCAGCCAGCAGCAGCAACCUUCGUGGGUCCCCUUCCAUGCUGUGGAAGCUUUGUUCUUUCACUCUUCACAAUAAACCUUGCUACUGCUCGCUCUAUGGGUCUGUGCCAUCUUUAAGGGAUGUAAUAUUCACUGUGAAGGUCCACGGCUUCAUUCUUGAAGUCAGCGAGACCACCGGAAGGAACCAGCUCUGGACACACUCAGACCCAUCAGAUUGGCAAAACAUCAAAACACUCAUCAGGCAAAGAUUGGGAAAGAUGAAGAGAAACAGGAAAUCCCAUACUGCAUAUCAGAGUAUAAAUUUGUAGGACUUUGCAAAGCAAGUUGGCAACAUCCAGUUCAGCUGCAAAUGUGCAUACUCUGAUCUGCCAGUUUAAAAUCUGUAAAUGGCCUGAAGAAAUUAUUACAUGUAAGCCUAAAAAGACAUGUACAAGAAUGUUGAUUGUACAUAACAGAAACAGAACAAAA